CGUUCAUUAGAAGGGCUUGGAAACCAAAUUAUGUGUCAUUAUUUGUUUUUUAUACAAAAACAAUAUUGAAAAAAGGCCCCUUGAUGAAUUUGUAAAUUAAAACAAGGAGAUGCUUACUUAAAAUUUUGAAAGCCCCCCAAAGACCCAAUACUACAAAUCAAAACCACGCAGGAUAGAUUUUUUUUCAUCCUAUCUAAACAUGAGAAAGUAUGAUAUGCUAUAUUGACAUUUAGGCUAAAUCUUUCCCUUAUAAGGUGUUUGACAUAAAUAGCUUUUAUUAUGUAACUCUUAAAUAGAAGGCAUACACACAUUUCUUAAAGGUCCCAGCUGCUAUUGUUAUCACUGGAGGCAGAAAAUUGGAAUCCCAACUUCCAAUAUCAAAUUUUAGCACAAGUCCUAUAAAAUGUAUCUUGUCAGAAUGUGCCAGAACCGCUAAGCUCUUUUCUGCGGAACAAACCGCAGCUGGUGUCCUGCAGGGUCGAGAAUCUACUUGCUGCAUCCUCAGGGUUUAGGCAGCAAAUUGGUCCCAGUUUUCACCCUGCCACGGGGCUGGCUGGGGAGGGCAGGGGUUUAGAUUAGCCAUGGCCUAGGCCGUUUGACGGGGUGACACGAGCCUGCAGGGCCGAGGCCAAGGCCUGGAGAUAGGACCAACCGUCAGGAAUUCGAGGAAUGUUUUUCUUCGGACUCUUGAGGCACACAGACAGACCAUGGGGAUUGUGUCUGCAGUGACAGCCUUAACAUUUGCCAGAGCCCUGGACGGCUGCAGAAAUGGCAUUGCCCACCCUGCAAGUGAGAAGCACAGAUUUGAGAAAUGCGCAGAACUCCAGAGCAGCCACUCGGCCUCUGGGAUCAACCCGGCACUGAAGAAAAACCCAGAGAAAUUAUUCCUCAGCCCGAAACGAAGCGGGGAUCAAAUGGUUGCUGAUCAGAGCAAAUAUUUAAAUUGAGAAAGUCAAAUUGAGCAUUAUUAAAUAAAGCUUGUUUUACAUGUCUCAAACAGAAA
Long non-coding RNA from Saimiri boliviensis boliviensis (Bolivian squirrel monkey), 1003 nucleotides. RefSeq lists it as uncharacterized. NCBI's taxonomy places the organism in Eukaryota, Metazoa, Chordata, Mammalia, Primates, Cebidae. The record is from RefSeq and is a predicted model, not a curated record.